This 606-nucleotide long non-coding RNA is filed under the name Dasypus novemcinctus (nine-banded armadillo). RNAcentral describes it as "lncRNA (ENSDNOG00000052791.1)". The record is from RNAcentral. Lineage: Eukaryota; Metazoa; Chordata; Mammalia; Cingulata; Dasypodidae.
AAUUUAUUUGUUCCUGACUCUGCCAUUUGGGCUGGGCUUGGUGGAGACGACUCACCUCCACUCUGUGUGCCGUCAGCUGGGGCAGUCCUCCUGCUUGUCUCGCUGGGGACACUCGUGUGGCUGCUCUCCCUGUCCAUGGGUCUCAGGGUCACUCCCACUCCACGUGGCCUCCCACGUGGCCUCUCCAGCAGAGGUGGACCUUAGGACUUCUUAUCUGGAAAUUCAGGCCUCCCAAAAAGCUACAAGGCCCCCUAAGAACGAGGCCCAGAGGGGAGCGGGUGUAGGUCAGUGAUGGAGCAUUUGCUUCCCACAUACAAGGUCCUGGGUUCAAUCCCCAGUACCUCCUAAAAAAAAAAAAAAAAAGGAAUAAGGCCCAGAAACAAAUAACAGCAGUUCCUGUCUGACAGGGCCACACUGAGGGUGCAGUAACAAUGUAUGUGACAUAUCCCAGACCUGGCGACCACUAUUGUCACCGGGCCAUCAAGCUGCUAUAUCUAAAACACCAAUCACCACCACCACCACCCUCAGGUUCUACCACCUGUCCUCCCUGCCUUGUCCUCCCAACAGAGUGGGACCUGCUUCUCCAGGGUAAUCCACCCUCGCCUC